CUACGGGGGGCUGCAGUGGGGAAUAUUGCACAAUGGGCGCAAGCCUGAUGCAGCCAUGCCGCGUGUAUGAAGAAGGCCUUCGGGUUGUAAAGUACUUUCAGCGGGGAGGAAGGGAGUAAAGUUAAUACCUUUGCUCAUUGACGUUACCCGCAGAAGAAGCACCGGCUAACUCCGUGCCAGCAGCCGCGGUAAUACGGAGGGUGCAAGCGGUAAUCGGAAUUACUGGGCGUAAGGCGCACGCAGGCGGUUUGUUAAGUCAGAUGUGAAAUCCCCGGGCUCAACCUGGGAACUGCAUCUGAUACUGGCAAGCUUGAGUCUCGUAGAGGGGGGUAGAAUUCCAGGUGUAGCGGUGAAAUGCGUAGAGAUCUGGAGGAAUACCGGUGGCGAAGGCGGCCCCCUGGACGAAGACUGACGCUCAGGUGCGAAAGCGUGGGGAGCAAACAGGAUUAGAUACCCCUGUAGUC
This 464-nucleotide ribosomal RNA is filed under the name uncultured bacterium. Its description in RNAcentral is "partial 16S ribosomal RNA". It matches the Rfam family "Bacterial small subunit ribosomal RNA", at positions 339 to 795 of the family's 1533-position model. The record is from RNAcentral.